Molecule: ribosomal RNA, 236 nt
Filed under: uncultured bacterium
Lineage: Bacteria
Description: partial 16S ribosomal RNA
Rfam family: Bacterial small subunit ribosomal RNA
Source: RNAcentral
CACGUAGGGUGCGAGCGUUGUCCGGAAUUAUUGGGCGUAAAGAGCUCGUAGGCGGUGUGUCGCGUCGGCCGUGAAAACCUGCAGCUUAACUGUGGGCUUGCGGUCGAUACGGGCAUCACUGGAGUUCGGCAGGGGAGACUGGAAUUCCUGGUGUAGCGGUGAAAUGCGCAGAUAUCGGAGGAAGAACCUCGUGGCGAAGGCGGCUCUGGGCGUAUACUCGUGAGACGCGAAAGCGU